RNAcentral lists this transfer RNA (86 nucleotides) under Candidatus Berkelbacteria bacterium. RNAcentral's name for it is "tRNA-Leu". It matches the Rfam family "tRNA". From Rfam's summary of the family: Transfer RNA (tRNA) molecules are approximately 80 nucleotides in length. Their secondary structure includes four short double-helical elements and three loops (D, anti-codon, and T loops). Further hydrogen bonds mediate the characteristic L-shaped molecular structure. tRNAs have two regions of fundamental functional importance: the anti-codon, which is responsible for specific mRNA codon recognition, and the 3' end, to which the tRNAs corresponding amino acid is attached (by aminoacyl-tRNA synthetases). tRNAs cope with the degeneracy of the genetic code in two manners: having more than one tRNA (with a specific anti-codon) for a particular amino acid; and 'wobble' base-pairing, i.e. permitting non-standard base-pairing at the 3rd anti-codon position. The record is from RNAcentral. Lineage: Bacteria; Candidatus Berkelbacteria.
GGCGCGGUGGCGGAACAGGUAUACGCGACGGACUUAAAAUCCGUUGGUGGUAAAACACCUUGUGGGUUCGAUUCCCACCCGCGCCA